This 489-nucleotide ribosomal RNA is filed under the name uncultured bacterium. Its description in RNAcentral is "partial 16S ribosomal RNA". It matches the Rfam family "Bacterial small subunit ribosomal RNA", at positions 28 to 507 of the family's 1533-position model. The record is from RNAcentral.
GACGAACGCUGGCGGCGUGCUUAACACAUGCAAGUCGAACGGAAAGGCCCCCACCUUGGUGGGGGUGCUCGAGUGGCGAACGGGUGAGUAACACGUGGGUGAUCUGCCCUGUACUUCGGGAUAAGCUUGGGAAACUGGGUCUAAUACCGGAUAGGACCAUGGUUUAGUGUCUCAUGGUGGAAAAAUUAUUGUUUUGGUGCAGGAUGAGCUCGCGGCCUAUCAGCUUGUUGGUGGGGUAAUGGCCUACCAAGGCGUCGACGGGUAGCCGGCCUGAGAGGGUGGACGGCCACAUUGGGACUGAGAUACGGCCCAGACUCCUACGGGAGGCAGCAGUGGGGAAUAUUGCACAAGGGGCGCAAGCCUGAUGCAGCGACGCCGCGUGGGGGAUGACGGCCUUCGGGUUGUAAACUCCUUUCGUUAGGGACGAAGCCACACCUUUUUUGGGUGUGGUGACGGUACCUUUGUGAAGAAGCACCGGCUAACUACGUG